GGAGUCUGGGCCGUGUCUCAGUCCCAAUGUGGCCGUUCAUCCUCUCAGAUCGGCUACUGAUCGUCGCCUUGGUGAGCCGUUACCUCACCAACUAGCUAAUCAGACGCGGGUCCAUCUUGUACCACCGGAGUUUUUCACACUGCAUCAUGCGAUGCUGUGCGCUUAUGCGGUAUUAGCAGCCGUUUCCAACUGUUGUCCCCCUGUACAAGGCAGGUUACCCACGCGUUACUCACCCGUCCGCCACUAAGUCAAUAAAUCGUCACCCCGAAGGGAUCGUAAAAAAUUGCUUCGUUCGACUUGCAUGUGUUAAGCACGCCGCCAGCGUUCAUC
RNAcentral lists this ribosomal RNA (330 nucleotides) under uncultured Lachnospiraceae bacterium. Its description in RNAcentral is "partial 16S ribosomal RNA". Lineage: Bacteria; Bacillati; Bacillota; Clostridia; Lachnospirales; Lachnospiraceae. The record is from RNAcentral.